RNA transcript from Branchiostoma floridae (Florida lancelet), 674 nucleotides. RefSeq lists it as uncharacterized. The record is from RefSeq and is a predicted model, not a curated record. Lineage: Eukaryota; Metazoa; Chordata; Leptocardii; Amphioxiformes; Branchiostomatidae. The transcript is spliced from 3 exons.
CUUACGUUUGAGUCCCGCGAGCACGCACUGACAUGUACCUGUAAGUAGUGCGUGCUCGGAGUCAUGUUUGAACCCCGUUUGAGCGUGCGUGCUCCGAGUCACGUGAUCUUCGUUUUGCGAACAAUAGACAAGCGUCCGGGGGUACUCUGACCCAGUUCUCCCGCCUGAUACACACAAAAUGCCGCUAGUCUAAGAAGAGUUUUUCCCGAGGAUAAUGUUGGUGCACGUAGCCGGGCCAGUAGUUUCGCCUCAAGGUAUCUGGAAGACGAGGAACCACCCCAGCUGACCCAGUUCAGCAGCGGAGGGAUAUGGAUGUACAUGUAUAUCAGAAAAGACAACCGCCGAACUUAUCAGUUGGAGACGAAACGCGGCUCGAAGAGGUCAUGGCUUCGGUAGAAGUCAGAUCAAACCGCCGUGGUCUCCAGGGCUCCAUCGACUGCCUUGCUGAUGGCAGGACUUUACCGGUCAGUGUGAUGUGAGUGAGUGCGCCUGAUGAAAGCGCAGACAUAGGGAUGUAAUCAGUGCAGACUUGUUGGAAUAUAUCAAUCAGCCAAGGUGAUCAAGUUGAGAUGAGUGUGUGUUUGUUCUCCUAAGAGCGACCGCUAUUUUCAGUAUCAGUGUAUCCGUUAAGUAUUUGAAACGGGCGAUGUGAUCUCUGUAUUUUCUCUCGAUCC